AUGGCGCCUUCAGAAAAGAAUCGUUGUGCGAUUGUGCUCCUAAUUGUCAUUGUGGCCUCCGUAUGUCCGCUGUGUUCAAUGGAGUCUCCAUGCGCGAAGCCAAGUAAUUGCCGGCACCCGAGCGGCAAUUAUAGAGGACCGUGCUUUGCCUUUACCGACGGUUGCGAUACUACAUGCCAACAUGAAAGCUCCGAUAACAGGUGGGGCGAGUGUGACUGUGACUUUAAAUGCUACUGCUAUACAUGCUAG
RNAcentral lists this ribosomal RNA (249 nucleotides) under Triticum aestivum (bread wheat). RNAcentral describes it as "partial small subunit ribosomal RNA". The record is from RNAcentral. Lineage: Eukaryota; Viridiplantae; Streptophyta; Magnoliopsida; Poales; Poaceae.